GGGCCCGCACAAGCGGUGGAGCAUGUGGUUUAAUUCGAGGCAACGCGAAGAACCUUACCAGCCCUUGACAUGGGUAGUAUGGAUUUUGGAGACAAUUUCCUUCAGUUCGGCUGGCUACCACACAGGUGCUGCAUGGCUGUCGUCAGCUCGUGUCGUGAGAUGUUGGUUAAGUCCCGCAACGAGCGCAACCCUCAUCUUCAGUUGCUAACGCCUAGGGCGAGCACUUUGGAGAAACUGCCUGGGAUGACUAGGAGGAAGGCGAGGAUGACGUCAAGUCCUCAUGGCCCUUAUGGGCUGGGCUACACACGUGCUACAAUGGCGGUGACAACGGGAAGCAAUUGGGCAACCUU
RNAcentral lists this ribosomal RNA (350 nucleotides) under uncultured bacterium. Its description in RNAcentral is "bacterial SSU rRNA". It matches the Rfam family "Bacterial small subunit ribosomal RNA", at positions 917 to 1264 of the family's 1533-position model. The record is from RNAcentral.